UGAGCUUGGUCAUGUGGGUUGUGUGUUCGGGUCUGCUUAGCUGCAGGUCCUCGCCUCUGGUGGGGAUGCGCGUAUCACUUAUCAAGUGUUGUGCGCCCGGGCUUUAUCGGACCUGCUCGUCAGUGCACUUUCUCAGGGUGAUCACCACGACCGGCGUUGCCGUCUGGCUGUUGCGGUUAAACCGGCCUUGUAGGGUCCUUGUGGCUUUGCUCGGUCGGGAUGGCAGGUAGCCCGUUGUGCAUUUAUGUGCUUCGGGUGUAAUAGCUGACUGCAUCGGUUCUGUGCGGUACGUCGGAGACGGCGGCUUGUUGCGCUUGCGUGCGUGCCUGUUGCGCCGGCGGCUCUGGGUUUGGUUGCCUUGUUGCUUGUAAAUGCAAGCCAGGUGAUGGCUCGGUGUCGUUCGGUGUGCGGUUGCGUGCGUAGUGCUUUGAAAGGGCCCACAGUCUGUGGUGUAGUGGUAGACUAUCCACCCGACCCGUCUUGAAACACGGAC
Molecule: ribosomal RNA, 493 nt
Filed under: Himasthla sp. 1 JB-2022
Lineage: Eukaryota; Metazoa; Platyhelminthes; Trematoda; Plagiorchiida; Himasthlidae
Description: partial large subunit ribosomal RNA
Source: RNAcentral